Molecule: ribosomal RNA, 407 nt
Filed under: uncultured bacterium
Lineage: Bacteria
Description: partial 16S ribosomal RNA
Rfam family: Bacterial small subunit ribosomal RNA
Source: RNAcentral
GACGAACGCUGGCGGCGUGCCUAAUACAUGCAAGUAGAACGCAGUUGCGAACGGGUGAGUAACGAGUAGGUAACUGCCUUAUCGCGGGGGAUAACUAUUGGAAACGAUAGGUAAAACCGCAUACUGUGAGAUGGACCUGAGUUGUUUUAGCGAGUUGGUGGGGUAAAGGGUCACCAAGGCGACGAUACAUAGCCGACCUUGAAGGGGGAUCGGCCCACCUGGGACUGGGGAACGGCCCCAACUCCUACGGGGGGGCACAAUAGGGGAACUUCGGCAAUUGGCGGAAAUCUGGACGAGCAAAGGCGCGGGAGUGAAGAAGGUUUUCCGGUCUUUAAGCUCUGUUGUUAGAGAAGCGGUAACUAACCAGAAAGGGACGGCUAACUACGUGCCAGCCGCCGCGGUAAUAC